GGCGUUGAGAAGGGUUUCUGCACUUAUGGAGGAAUACGUUGAUAAAGGAAGUGUUCAGCAUCCUGAGGGAGGAAGUCUAUUGAAGAUCAUUUGAUGUGAUGUCGCCACAUCUCCAAGUCCCUCUCUUCACUGCAGGGAGCGUAAAGCUGACAGUUGCCAGUCCAGUUGUGUCCCAUGGUGGGGUUAAUGCUAAUCGUGAUAGGGGUUGUUCUCUAAUAGACACCUACCAUGUUAGCAUUAUCCCUGCUCUGGGGUCAGUCUGCUACAGCUAGCACUGCUUUCUGGGAAGGAAAUGUAACUAAGCAAAGUGUAACACACACACAGGUACAUGCAUGUGAAUGCACACGCACUUAAGAAAUGCACUUGUGCACUCUCCAUCACACACAGACGCACAUGUGCACACAAACAUUUUCUCUGUUUGCUCUCUCUCUGUUUUGCUCUCUCUCUCUGUCUGUUUCUCUCUCUCACUCACUCUCUUUUCUUGUCACUUCCCCUAUAGCCAUUGGUUUCUGAGCCAGUUAUCCACAACCAUGACAUAUUGUGUGGUGUUAAUGCUGUCCAUGACUGGGGUGACUGAAGUACAAACUCCAACGUAGCAGCAUUCACACCAAUACCUCUCUCUCCAGUCAGCAGGAUUAUAUCUGCUCUUUCUUUUGUUUGAGAGCUGUCACUGCAAAAAUAACUGAUCCAUUUCAACAUGUUACAUUUAUUUCUGUCUUUGUUUGUCGUUUUUUCUUAUAUUUUUAUUUUCAACCAUAAAUUUACGAGCAAAUGGAAUAAUAACACAAGUAAAACAUGAGAUAACAUAUGUUUCUGUAUUGAACGCAAACAAGUCUUUCUGGUGUUUUCUGUUUGAUUGCAUGAUGAAAUUGUUCAAAAUAGUCUGGAUUAGCCUACUGUAAAGCGUCUCAAUAAAGCUGAUUAAUCGAAA
Molecule: long non-coding RNA, 931 nt
Organism: Hypomesus transpacificus
Lineage: Eukaryota; Metazoa; Chordata; Actinopteri; Osmeriformes; Osmeridae
Exons: 2
Source: RefSeq, a predicted model, not a curated record